RNAcentral lists this ribosomal RNA (464 nucleotides) under uncultured bacterium. RNAcentral describes it as "bacterial SSU rRNA". It matches the Rfam family "Bacterial small subunit ribosomal RNA", at positions 338 to 795 of the family's 1533-position model. The record is from RNAcentral.
CCUACGGGGUGCACCAGUGGGGAAUAUUGCACAAUGGGCGCAAGCCUGAUGCAGCCAUGCCGCGUGUAUGAAGAAGGCCUUAGGGUUGUAAAGUACUUUCAGUUGGGAGGAAGGCGUUGAUGCUAAUAUCAUCAACGAUUGACGUUACCAACAGAAGAAGCACCGGCUAACUCCGUGCCAGCAGCCGCGGUAAUACGGAGGGUGCAAGCGUUAAUCGGAAUUACUGGGCGUAAAGCGCACGCAGGCGGUUGAUUAAGUUAGAUGUGAAAUCCCCGGGCUUAACCUGGGAAUGGCAUCUAAGACUGGUCAGCUAGAGUCUUGUAGAGGGGGGUAGAAUUCCAUGUGUAGCGGUGAAAUGCGUAGAGAUGUGGAGGAAUACCGGUGGCGAAGGCGGCCCCUGGACAAAGACUGACGCUCAGGUGCGAAAGCGUGGGGAGCAAACAGGAUUAGAUACCCGUGUAGUC